RNAcentral lists this transfer RNA (73 nucleotides) under Desulfurellaceae bacterium. RNAcentral's name for it is "tRNA-Lys". It matches the Rfam family "tRNA". Rfam says of the family: Transfer RNA (tRNA) molecules are approximately 80 nucleotides in length. The record is from RNAcentral. Lineage: Bacteria; Pseudomonadati; Campylobacterota; Desulfurellia; Desulfurellales; Desulfurellaceae. RNAcentral also lists the same sequence under 1 other name.
GAGCCGAUAGCUCAGUUGGUAGAGCAUCUGCCUUUUAAGCAGAGGGUCCCGGGUUCGAGCCCCGGUCGGCUCA